CCCGGAUGAACGCGCGGCGUGCAAACAUGCAAGCGAGCAAUGAUAAGAGCUGUUAUGAAGUAGCGGCGGACGGUACAGUGGUAACGCCUAGAUGGUAAUCCGGGAAACCGGGGUAAACCGGAUAACAUUUGAACGCUGGUUGAAACAAAGGGGUUCGGCGUCAUAUGAGGACCCGGUUGCUUAGUAGUGGUGAGGUAACGGUCCCAAGCACGAUGCGUAGCGACUUGAGAGGGUGUGGCCGGAUGGCGCGGGAGGCACUUCGCAAGAAAGUCGACGGAGCAGCGCUGAGUGAGAAGGCUUUCGGGUCGUAAAAUUUUAGGGAAGAACAAGUGUAGUUAAUAAGGGCACCUUGACGGUACCUACCAAAAGCCCGGCUAACUACGUGCCAGCCGGAAUUAUUGGGCGUAAAGCGCGCGCAGGUGGUUUUUAAGUUGAUGUGAAAGCCCCGGCUCAACCUACUGGAGACUUGAGUGCAGAAGAGGAAAGGAAGCGUAGAGUGGGGAACACCAGGCGAAGGCGACUUUCUUAACGCGAAA
This 536-nucleotide ribosomal RNA is filed under the name Bacillus cereus. RNAcentral describes it as "partial 16S ribosomal RNA". Lineage: Bacteria; Bacillati; Bacillota; Bacilli; Caryophanales; Bacillaceae. The record is from RNAcentral.